AGUGAACGCUGGCGGUAGGCCUAACACAUGCAAGUCGAACGGCAGCACAGUAAGAGCUUGCUCUUACGGGUGGCGAGUGGCGGACGGGUGAGGAAUACAUCGGAAUCUACUUUUUCGUGGGGGAUAACGUAGGGAAACUUACGCUAAUACCGCAUACGACCUACGGGUGAAAGCAGGGGAUCUUCGGACCUUGCGCGAUUGAAUGAGCCGAUGUCGGAUUAGCUAGUUGGCGGGGUAAAGGCCCACCAAGGCGACGAUCCGUAGCUGGUCUGAGAGGAUGAUAAGCCACAAUGGAACUGAGACUCGGUCCAGACUCCUACGGGAGGCAGCAGUGGGGAAUAUUGGACAAUGGGCGCAAGCCUGAUCCAGCCAUACCGCGUGGGUGAAGAAGGCCUUCGGGUUGUAAAGCCCUUUUGUUGGGAAAGAAAAGCAGCAGGUUAAUACCCCGCUGUUCUGACGGUACCCAAAGAAUAAGCACCGGCUAACUUCGUG
Molecule: ribosomal RNA, 492 nt
Filed under: uncultured bacterium
Lineage: Bacteria
Description: partial 16S ribosomal RNA
Rfam family: Bacterial small subunit ribosomal RNA
Source: RNAcentral